This 241-nucleotide unclassified non-coding RNA is filed under the name uncultured fungus. Its description in RNAcentral is "sequence contains ITS2". Lineage: Eukaryota; Fungi. The record is from RNAcentral.
AACGCACAUUGCGCCCUCUGGCAUUCCGGGGGGCACACCCGUUCGAGCGUCAUUAUCACCAAUCAAGCCUGGCUUGGUGUUGGGGAUCGCCCCCGGGGCGACCCCUAAAGUCCACCGGCUGGACCAGUAUGUCCCCCAGCGUUGUGAUCAAUAUUCGCUCAGGGACGGCCUGGCUCACGCCGUUAAACCCAUCUUUUAACAGGUUGACCUCGGAUCGGGUGGGGAUACCCGCUGAACUUAA